This 341-nucleotide ribosomal RNA is filed under the name uncultured bacterium. RNAcentral's name for it is "partial 16S ribosomal RNA". It matches the Rfam family "Bacterial small subunit ribosomal RNA", at positions 450 to 795 of the family's 1533-position model. The record is from RNAcentral.
CCUACGGGUGGCGUUCCGAGAGUACCCGAAGAAAAAGCAUCGACUAACUCCGUGCCAGCAGCCGCGGUAAUACGGAGGAUGCGAGCGUUAUCCGGAUUUAUUGGGUUUAAAGGGUGCGCAGGCGGAAGAUCAAGUCAGCGGUAAAAUUGAGAGGCUCAACCUCUUCGAGCCGUUGAUACUGGUAUUCUUGAGUGAGUGAGAAGUAUGCGGAAUGCGUGGUGUAGCGGUGAAAUGCAUAGAUAUCACGCAGAACUCCGAUUGCGAAGGCAGCAUACCGACGCUCAACUGACGCUGAUGCACGAAAGUGUGGGUAUCGAACAGGAUUAGAUACCCCAGUAGUC